UCCCGGGUUGCUCUGUCGGCAGGGGCGACCAGACUUUGAAUCUGGGUACGACGCAGGUUCGACUCCUGCCCCGGGAGCCG
RNAcentral lists this transfer RNA (80 nucleotides) under Streptomyces sp. XY332. Its description in RNAcentral is "tRNA-Gln". It matches the Rfam family "tRNA". Rfam says of the family: Transfer RNA (tRNA) molecules are approximately 80 nucleotides in length. Their secondary structure includes four short double-helical elements and three loops (D, anti-codon, and T loops). Lineage: Bacteria; Bacillati; Actinomycetota; Actinomycetes; Kitasatosporales; Streptomycetaceae. The record is from RNAcentral. RNAcentral also lists the same sequence under 2 other names.